UACGUAGGUGGCAAGCGUUGUCCGGAUUUACUGGGCGUAAAGAGCGCGCAGGCGGUCGAAUAAGUCGAAUGUGAAAGCCCCCGGCUCAACUGGGGAGGGUCAUUCGAUACUGCUCGACUUGAAGGCAGGAGAGGGUAGUGGAAUUCCCGGUGUAGUGGUGAAAUGCGUAGAUAUCGGGAGGAACACCAGUGGCGAAGGCGACUACCUGGCCUGUUCUUGACGCUGAGGCGCGAAAGCUAGGGGAGCAAACAGG
Molecule: ribosomal RNA, 253 nt
Filed under: uncultured bacterium
Lineage: Bacteria
Description: partial 16S ribosomal RNA
Rfam family: Bacterial small subunit ribosomal RNA
Source: RNAcentral